GGGCAAUGCGCUAUUGAGCGGCGAUGCCUGAUUAGCUAGUUGGUGAGGUAAAGGCUUACCAAGGCGACGAUCAGUAGCUGGUCUGAGAGGACGACCAGCCACACUGGGACUGAGACACGGCCCAGACUCCUACGGGAGGCAGCAGUGGGGAAUUUUGGACAAUGGGGGAAACCCUGAUCCAGCCAUGCCGCGUGAGUGAAGAAGGCCUUCGGGUUGUAAAGCUCUUUCAGCCGGAACGAAACGGUCACGGCUAAUACCUGUGACCACUGACGGUACCGGAAGAAGAAGCACCGGCUAACUACGUGCCAGCAGCCGCGGUAAUACGUAGGGUGCAAGCGUUAAUCGGAAUUACUGGGCGUAAAGCGUGCGCAGGCGGUUUUGUAAGUCAGAUGUGAAAUCCCCGGGCUUAACCUGGGAACUGCGUUUGAAACACAAAGGCUAGA
Molecule: ribosomal RNA, 443 nt
Filed under: uncultured ammonia-oxidizing bacterium
Lineage: Bacteria
Description: bacterial SSU rRNA
Rfam family: Bacterial small subunit ribosomal RNA
Source: RNAcentral